UCAGUUCAGCGGUCCUAUGAGAGCUACUA
Molecule: non-coding RNA, 29 nt
Filed under: Mus musculus (house mouse)
Lineage: Eukaryota; Metazoa; Chordata; Mammalia; Rodentia; Muridae
Source: RNAcentral